AAGAUUAAGCCAUGCAUGUCUAAGUAUAAGCACUUGUACUGUGAAACUGCGAAUGGCUCAUUAAAUCAGUUAUCGUUUAUUUGAUUGUACCUUACUACAUGGAUACCUGUGGUAAUUCUAGAGCUAAUACAUGCGAAAAGUCCCAACUUCUGGAAGGGAUGUAUUUAUUAGAUUAAAAACCAAUGCAAGUCUUCGGGCUCGUUUUCUUGGUGAUUCAUGAUAACUUUUCGAAUCGCAUGGCCUAGAGCCGGCGAUACUUCAUUCAAAUUUCUGCCCUAUCAACUGUCGAUGGUAAGGUAGUGGCUUACCAUGGUUAUAACGGGUGACGGAGAAUUAGGGUUCGAUUCCGGAGAGGGAGCCUGAGAAACGGCUACCACAUCUAAGGAAGGCAGCAGGCUCGAAAAUUACCCAAUCCCGACUCGGGGAGGUAGUGACAAGAAAUAACGAUACGGGGUCUUAAUAGGUCUCGCAAUUGGAAUGAGUACAAUUUAAAUCCUUUAACGAGGAUCAAUUGGAGGGCAAGUCUGGUGCCAGCAGCCGCGGUAAUUCCAGCUCCAAUAGCGUAUAUUAAAGUUGUUGCAGUUAAAAAGCUCGUAGUUGGAUUUCGGAGUGGGCCAGUUGGUCCGCCGCAAGGUGUGUUACUGACUGGUUUGCUCUUCUUCGCAAAGACUGCGUGUGCUCUUGAGUGAGUGUGCGUAGAAUUACGACGUUUACUUUGAAAAAAUUAGAGUGUUCAAAGCAGGCUAUUGCUUGAAUACAUGAGCAUGGAAUAAUGGAAUAGGACUUUGGUCCCAUUUUGUUGGUUUCUAGGGCCGAAGUAAUGAUUAAGAGGGACAAUUGGGGGCAUCCGUAUUUCGUUGUCAGAGGUGAAAUUCUUGGAUUUACGAAAGACGAACAACUGCGAAAGCACUUGCCAAGAGUGUUUUCAUUAAUCAGACGAAAGUUAGAGGAUCGAGACGAUCAGAUACCGUCUAGUCUACAUAACGAUGUCGACUAGGGAUCAGCGGGCGUAUCGUACGACCCGU
This 1025-nucleotide ribosomal RNA is filed under the name uncultured eukaryote. RNAcentral's name for it is "SSU rRNA". It matches the Rfam family "Eukaryotic small subunit ribosomal RNA", at positions 40 to 1080 of the family's 1831-position model. The record is from RNAcentral.